UGGAACUCGCCCCGUGGUCCACCACAAAACUCGCUCCUUGCUUCCAGGGAACAAAGAGUGACUGUUCUCUCCCCGAGUUAAUGAGAUCUUACAAGGCAGUGGGGUCAGAGGAGAAAAGGCAACAGAAAACCCCCAGAGUUUUAACCUCAAUGUCUUUCUCUCUUUUCCUUUGGAAAAAUAAUAAUAAUAAUAAACACAAGUGUUCUUCACUGAGUUCUGAAGAGGAAGCGGGUGGCCGUGGUGUGGAGCAGGAGGAAGAGAAGCUCUUGACCGUCAACAUCUCUGAUCUCAGAGGCCGACUCAAGGAGAAGGAGGGCCCACUGAAGUCACACUUGGAUGCCAGACUCCCAGUGCAGAGGAGGGCACUGUGGCUGCCAGGACCAGCCUGGGCGCACACACACAGGCAUUCACAGCCCCUCCCGCCCGCCCUGUGUGCCCCCAGCAGCAAACAGAACUCUCUGUCUCAGUUCCUGAGUCAAGCCUGCACAGAAUUAACUGUAAUAAUUGGCAGGUGGGCCGCUGGCUUCUGGGUUUCAAUUCAGCAGGGGCUCAUGAAAAAAAAAACAAAAAACUGGAUGUUCUGCCGUAGCCAGUAUUUAGCUUGGGCUCUGAGAAGUUUCAGCUUUCCAUGACAAGAAACAAACUGUGUGACUGCAGCUGCCCUGGGCAAACAAGAGCUCCAGAACAGCCUUGGGGAAAGAGGCCCUUGCUGGCAAGACGUUCGCUCCUUGGGGGAAAGAAGAGGAAAUGGCCCUUGACCUGCUGCCCUUCUCAGGAGCUCAGAUAAUGGAGAAGAAAGGCGUCUUUCUGGAAGCUUUUUUCCUCAGAUGGAAGGGCGAGAUCAUCACCUCCAAAGAUUUUUCCACGGCAUGAAUGCCCUGUGUGUGUGCUGUGUGCUCGGUCGUGUUCGAAUUUUUGUGACUGUCCAUGGGAUUUCCUAGGCAAGAAUACUGGAGUGGAUGCCCCGGUCACUCUUUAUAAGAAUAUCUGUAAUAAUAGGGGUUCUCAUCCCAGCCCACAACUGAGCCACCAUUUAUCACAUAUUCAUUUAUUUGACUGCACCAAGUCCUAGCUGAGGCAUGAGAACUUAAGUUUGUGGCAUGUGGGAUCCAGUUCCCUGACCAGGGAUUGAACCCAGGUCUCUUGCAUUGGGAGUUCAGAGUCUUAGCCACUGGACCACCAGGGAAGACCCCUGAGCCACCCUUUGACAGCAUCUACUGCUGAUGGGACAGGAACCAGCCUCCACUACUGUGUUUCUGCUAUUUGUCCACUGCAGACCUCACUAAUCAACAGUGGUUAUCUUUUCCACUGAGCCUCAGACAUGGGCUCAGAAUCUUGCUCGACAUUGUACCCCAGGAAGCCACUAGAAAUGAAUAGGAAUUGGCAGGAGAGCUGACAAAUAUUUGCUGCUUCUAUUUUGGUAACUCAGAAGAGGCCAGAGUUACAAUCUCACCAAAGUUUCUGCAUCGACAGGAAUCCAGUGAUGUCCUACUUCAGGACUGUGGCCUUUCAUGCCAAUUACCGACCAAACAGAGAAUGCUUAUCACUGCUCUCCAGAGACUGGGCUCUGGCGAUGAUCCUCCUCAGAGAAGAGGACACACGACAGGAUUUCACUGGAGACCCAGAUCUGCAAGAGGACAACUUCACUGAACUCCUUGCUAUGCAACACGAGCUGCUUACUAAUGAAGACCUGAUGGAGUCGGAGACCCAGAGAAAGGAUGGAGAGAAAGGAAGAAGUAACUGAAGAACCAAAGAGAUUCAUGACACAGGAGACGGCAAGGGUGUUUUCUUUAUUUGAGGGGGCACCGUUAGAUUUUGGGACCCAGGACCCAAAUGUAGAACGGUUCAUGAACGGUACAGCAACUGUUCAGAAUGCAAUCCAGUGCUGCUGUGUCAUCUAUGAUGAGAAAAAACAGUUGCUACCCAGACAUCGCUGGAUCGUGUUCUUUUUCAUGUGUGUCCCCUCCCUCCUGAACACUCCUCGCAACUCCCUCCCUGUCCCAGCCCUCCAGAGAGAGCACCAGCUUUGUCAGAGAGCACCAGCUCUGGGCUCCCUGCAUCAUCCGCCAGACUCCCACUGGCUCUCUGUUUUACAUGUGGGAGUGCAUGUGUUUCAGUGCUAUUCUCGCAAAUCAACCCACUCAUGAGGAUAGAUAGAGUUGAGCCGAGCAAGGAACCCGAACCAGUGCCAUCAGCAUCAGGUGGGAGUGGAAUUACAGCUUGCCUUCCAUCUCCUGUUGGUGAUGACCGUUCGGCUCUGCCCUCUCCCGUCUCCUCUCCCUCCUCUAGUCAGUAACUCCUGCCUGUUCACUCCAUGCCAGUCCCCGUGUGUCAGCUGUUGUAUGGCGCUACUGUACUUCUCAAGGCAGCAAUGGAUAUUCAGACAUAGAGAACAGACUUAUGGACACAGUGCGGAGGAGAGAGAAGGUGGGAUGAUUUGAGAAGAGUCGCGUGGAAACAUGUAUGUUAUCAUAUGCAAUGUGGAUGUGUGCGCUGUGUGCUCAGUCACUCAGACUGAGGUCACUGACCAGUCGCUGUGUUGGACUCUUUGCCAAGUCAUGGACUGUAUAACUCUCACCUUUGAGAGGGUCUGAAUUCCACCUGUGGAAUGUAUGCGUGCAUGUGUGCAUGCUAAGUCGUUCAGUCAAGUCGGACUCUGCGACCCUUUGGACUGUAGCUCACCAGGCUCCUCUGACCAUGGGAUUCUCCAGGCAAGAAUACUGGAGUGGGUAGCCAUGCUGUCCUCCAGGGGAUCCUCCAAACCCAGGGAUCGAACCUGUGUCUCUUAUGUCUCCUGCAUUGGCAGGCAGGUUCUACCACUGAUAUCCAAUGGGAAUUGGUUGUAUGACACAGGGGACCCUGUGGCUCAGCUGGUAAAGAAUCCGCUUGCAAUGCAGGAGACCUGGGUUUGAUCCCCGGGUUGGGAAGAAUCCCUGGAGAAGGGAAAGGCUACCCACUCCAGUAUUCUGGCCUGGAGAAUUCC
Cervus elaphus (red deer) is the source of this 2983-nucleotide long non-coding RNA. RefSeq lists it as uncharacterized. The record is from RefSeq and is a predicted model, not a curated record. NCBI's taxonomy places the organism in Eukaryota, Metazoa, Chordata, Mammalia, Artiodactyla, Cervidae. The transcript has 3 exons.